UGAAAAGGACCGAGGUCGGCUAAAUGCGCAACAUCCUGUUGCAAAGCCGACACUCGCACGUCCUGUGCU
RNAcentral lists this small RNA (69 nucleotides) under Bacilli bacterium VT-13-104. Its description in RNAcentral is "Bacillaceae-1 RNA". It matches the Rfam family "Bacillaceae-1 RNA". Lineage: Bacteria; Bacillati; Bacillota; Bacilli. The record is from Rfam by way of RNAcentral.